Molecule: ribosomal RNA, 460 nt
Filed under: uncultured bacterium
Lineage: Bacteria
Description: partial 16S ribosomal RNA
Rfam family: Bacterial small subunit ribosomal RNA
Source: RNAcentral
CCUACGGGUGGCAGCAGUGAGGAAUAUUGGUCAAUGGGCGAGAGCCUGAACCAGCCAAGUAGCGUGAAGGAUGACUGCCCUACGGGUUGUAAACUUCUUUUAUAUAGGAAUAAAAUGAGGCACGUGUGCCUUUUUGUAUGUACUUUAUGAAUAAGGAUCGGCUAACUCCGUGCCAGCAGCCGCGGUAAUACGGAGGAUCCGAGCGUUAUCCGGAUUUAUUGGGUUUAAAGGGAGCGUAGAUGGGUUGUUAAGUCAGUUGUGAAAGUUUGCGGAUCAACCGUAAAAUUGCAAUUGAUACUGGCAGCCUUGAGUACAGUAGAGGUAGGCGGAAUUCGUGGUGUAGCGGUGAAAUGCUUAGAUAUCACGAAGAACUCCGAUUGCGAAGGCAGCUUACUAAACUGCAACUGACAUUGAUGCUCGAAAGUGUGGGUAUCAAACAGGAUUAGAUACCCUAGUAGUC